This 498-nucleotide ribosomal RNA is filed under the name uncultured bacterium. Its description in RNAcentral is "partial 16S ribosomal RNA". It matches the Rfam family "Bacterial small subunit ribosomal RNA", at positions 899 to 1397 of the family's 1533-position model. The record is from RNAcentral.
ACUCAAAGGAAUAGACGGGGGCCCGCACAAGCGGAGGAGCAUGUGGUUUAAUUCGAUGGUACGCGAGGAACCUUACCUGGGAUUGAAAGACCAAUGACAGUCUCUGAAAGGAGAUUUUCCGAAAGGACAGUGGUCUAGGUGCUGCAUGGCUGUCGUCAGCUCGUGCCGUGAGGUGUCGGGUUAAGUCCCAUAACGAGCGCAACCCCUAUCUCCAGUUGCCAGCGGGUAAUGCCGGGGACUCUGGAGAAACUGCCCGUGCAAACGGUGAGGAAGGAGGGGAUGACGUCAAGUCAGCACGGCCCUUACAUCCAGGGCUACACACGUGCUACAAUGGCCGGUACAAUGGGUCGCUACAUGGCAACAUGAUGCUAAUCUCAAAAACCGGUCCCAGUUCGGAUUGAAGUCUGCAAUUCGACUUCAUGAAGCUGGAUUCGCUAGUAAUCGGAUAUCAGCUACGAUCCGGUGAAUACGUUCCCGGGCCUUGUACACACCGCCCGU